GGUUUCCGUAGGUGAACCUGCGGAAGGAUCAUUACCGAGUGCGGGCCCCUCGGGGCCCAACCUCCCACCCGUGUUGCCCGAACCUAUGUUGCCUCGGCGGGCCCCGCGCCCGCCGACGGCCCCCCUGAACGCUGUCUGAAGUUGCAGUCUGAGACCUAUAACGAAAUUAGUUAAAACUUUCAACAACGGAUCUCUUGGUUCCGGCAUCGAUGAAGAACGCAGCGAAAUGCGAUAACUAAUGUGAAUUGCAGAAUUCAGUGAAUCAUCGAGUCUUUGAACGCACAUUGCGCCCUCUGGUAUUCCGGAGGGCAUGCCUGUCCGAGCGUCAUUGCUGCCCUCAAGCCCGGCUUGUGUGUUGGGCCCCGUCCCCCCCGCCGGGGGGACGGGCCCGAAAGGCAGCGGCGGCACCGCGUCCGGUCCUCGAGCGUAUGGGGCUUCGUCACCCGCUCUAGUAGGCCCGGCCGGCGCCAGCCGACCCCCAACCUUUAAUUAUCUCAGGUUGACCUCGGAUCAGGUAGGGAUACCCG
This 527-nucleotide ribosomal RNA is filed under the name Penicillium citrinum. Its description in RNAcentral is "eukaryotic LSU rRNA". The stretch from base 175 to 328 matches the Rfam family "5.8S ribosomal RNA". The record is from RNAcentral. Lineage: Eukaryota; Fungi; Ascomycota; Eurotiomycetes; Eurotiales; Aspergillaceae.